Molecule: long non-coding RNA, 199 nt
Organism: Etheostoma spectabile (orangethroat darter)
Lineage: Eukaryota; Metazoa; Chordata; Actinopteri; Perciformes; Percidae
Exons: 3
Source: RefSeq, a predicted model, not a curated record
UCCCGCUUUGGGCCCCCUACAUGUUGGAAGUGGAAUUGUCCUUUGACAUUAUACGUUAUAAGUUUGCUAGAUCGGGUAGCAGAUCGGUAGUUCAAAUGAACUGGACAAUGUAAUGUAAUGGACAAUUCCACUUCCAACAUGUAGGGGGCCCAAAGCGGGAAAGGUUCUCUAGUGUCGCUUUAACAGUGAUUGACAGAUG